GCUGGCCUUCCAAUAAGAGGUGGUUCACUUCGGUAAAAAAAAAUCACAAUAUUAUCGCUUUCCCACACACAGGACCCAACCUAAAUCUUUCAUCACCUGGCGCUGGCGUGUGGCAGGGUGACCGUGGCUAAAGGGAAGGUGGUUUGGAAGAUGGCGGGAAGAAGGGAGACGGAAGCAGCACCACGCCCGCCAUGGCCCCGUCCACCAUCUGUCUCCUUUCACCACUCACACCACAGCCAAGCUCGACCUUGGGCACGUCGAGUGGCGGAGAAAGGGCGAGAGGCGGUGAGGCCAGCAACGACCAAUACCCCUCGUGUGGGUCACCUCGGACACCACACCCCCAAGCGAGGCUCUUCUUCCUCCUCGAGCCUCGCAGCCUCGCUCUCUGCCUCAUCUAUAUGGCGGAGGCGCAGCUGGAGUGCACCGGGAAUACAAACAGUGGAGGCGGCAGGGAGCGGAGAGCUAAGAGUGUCCGGGCUGCGAGGAGGCUGUUGUCACACGUCUGAGCUGAAGAGGGCGGGUACGGCGGCGCCCAGCCUGCAGAUGGGCUUUUCAGGCUCAGCACAAAUGAAUAGGACCAGUAGUGCAACCCCCCACCUCCCACACCACCAUAACCACAACCCAACAAGAGCAACAUCAACAACCGAAAGAAGGAGCAGAGAAAAAGAAAUUCUCACCCCCGGAAUUUCAGGGGAACGCGAGUCGCUUGGUGAGUGAUGCUGUUCUCGGGAAUAGCUUAGCAGGAGCCAUUUGCACCCUAUGUAUGUUUCUCAUCACCACUUCUACGGCUUGCUCUCGCUGCCUGCUCCACUUCUCAUUAUUGUGCCUCCAUCACUAAUAUACUACAUCAUCACCACCACCAUAGCAAGACUCGCAAUCGCUAUAUCACUAUAUAUCAGCUUGUCCUGUUGUCACUAUCCCUUGUUUCAUUGCCCUUAUCUUGAUCACACCUACUUUGCCCUAUUAUCAGUAUUCCCCAUACCUCACCAUUUUUUUAAGUCCCCCUGUCACUAUCACAUCUGUAGACUGUAUGGCUCUCCUCCCCUUCCCGCCACAAUCGAACCUGCACCACACCUCCCCUUUGCCCUAUUUAUAGCACUCCAAUAUCACCUGCACACACUACCUUUCCCUCAACACAAAAGAAAUUAAGAAAUGCAUGGUAAGUAGUUUGUCCCCUGCAAUAGAAAACUUCUCCCUGCGCUAGGAAUUGUAGGUGUUUAUGAAUGCACAAUGUUUUCUGUAAAUAAA
Molecule: long non-coding RNA, 1248 nt
Organism: Eriocheir sinensis (Chinese mitten crab)
Lineage: Eukaryota; Metazoa; Arthropoda; Malacostraca; Decapoda; Varunidae
Exons: 3
Source: RefSeq, a predicted model, not a curated record